UCAUUGGCGCUAAGCGUGAGGGAAUACUAGACGUUUGGUAAUUUCUCCUCCGACCAGGAUAAAAGAUCCCAUUGAAGCAGCUAAUCCCAUGCAUAUUAUAUGGACAUCUGGUCGCACAAAUUGCAUAGUAUCAUAAAUAGCCACCCCAGGUAUUACCCAGCCCCCAGGAGGGUUUAUAAACAAAUACAGAUCUUUGGUCUCAUCCUCGAUACUGAGAUAUACCAUAAGACCAAUAAGUUGAUUCGAAAUCUCGCUAUCAACCUCUUUUGCAUAGUAUCAUAAAUAGCCACCCCAGGUAUUACCCAGCCCCCAGGAGGGUUUAUAAACAAAUACAGAUCUUUGGUCUCAUCCUCGAUACUGAGAUAUACCAUAAGACCAAUAAGUUGAUUCGAAAUCUCGCUAU
This 403-nucleotide long non-coding RNA is filed under the name Nicotiana benthamiana. RNAcentral describes it as "long non-coding RNA (NBEN_LNC010856)". The record is from RNAcentral. Lineage: Eukaryota; Viridiplantae; Streptophyta; Magnoliopsida; Solanales; Solanaceae.